This 1903-nucleotide ribosomal RNA is filed under the name human gut metagenome. RNAcentral's name for it is "bacterial LSU rRNA". It matches the Rfam family "Bacterial large subunit ribosomal RNA", at positions 3 to 1996 of the family's 2925-position model. The record is from RNAcentral.
UCAAGCUAAUAAGGGCGCAAGGGGAAUGCCUUGGCAUUGGAAGCCGAUGAAGGACGUAGCGAUCUACGAAAAGCCCCGGGGAGGCGAAAGCAGCCAUCGAUCCGAGGAUAUCCGAAUGGGGAAACCCGGCGGAGCAAUACUCCGUCAUCCUUUUGUGAAUCCAUAGCAACUGGAAGGGAACCGCCUGAACUGAAACAUCUAAGUAGGGCGAGGAAGAGAAAUCAACCGAGAUUCCGCUAGUAGUGGCGAGCGAACGCGGAAGAGGCCAAACCAAGAGUAGUAAUACUUUUGGGGUUUUGGACAGCGUACGGUAUUAACUGCGGUUAGUAGAAUGAAAUGGGAAGUUCAACCACAGAGCGUGAUAGUCGCGUACACGAAAACUAAAGUUAGCCAGCUGGAUCCAGAGUACCGCCGGACACGUGAAACCCGGUGGGAAGACGGGGGGACCACCCUCCAAGCCUAAAUACUCUCCAAUGACCGAUAGUGUAUAGUACUGUGAAGGAAAGGUGAAAAGAACCCCUGGCGGGGAGUGAAAUAGAACCUGAAACCUUGUGCCUACAAGCACAUAGAGCGCGUCAAUGCGUGAUAUGGUACCUUUUGUAGAAUGGUCCGGCGAGUGAAUGUCACUGGCAAGGUUAAGCUCUUAAGGAGUGCAGCCGAAGCGAAAGCGAGUCUGAAAUGGGCGUUUUUAGUCAGUGGUAUUCGACCCGAAACCGGGUGACCUAGCCAUGAGCAGGCUGAAGUGGAGGUAAAACUCCAUGGAGGGCCGAACCCACUCCCGUUGAAAUGGUAGGGGAUGACUUGUGGCUAGCGGAGAAAUUCCAAUCGAACCCGGAGAUAGCUGGUUCUCUCCGAAAUAGCUUUAGGGCUAGCCUCAAUUAACAUUACCGCAGGUAAAGCACUGAAUGAGCUAGGGGGCGAAAGCUUACUGAACUCUAUCAAACUCAGAAUGGCGGAUAAUGAAUGAUUGGGAGUCACACUACGUGAGAUAAGUUUCGUGGUGGAAAGGGAAACAGCCCAGACCCACAGCUAAGGUCCCAAAGUACAGUUAAGUGGAAAAGGAUGUGAAAUUGCGCAGACAACCAGGAUGUUGGCUCAGAAGCAGCCACUCAUUCAAAGAGUGCGUAAUAGCUCACUGGUCGAGUGAUUUUGCGCCGAAAAUUUAACGGGGCUAAACUGUACACCGAAGCUUGGGAAUAUACAUUUGUAUAUUGGUAGGAGAGCGUUGUGUAAGGGGUGAAGUCGUAGCGAAAGCGGCGGUGGACUUUACACAAGUGAGAAUGCCGGAAUGAGUAGCGAGAAUUAUGUGAGAAUCAUAAUGGCCGAAAGACUAAGGUUUUAGAAGGAAGGUUCGUCCGCUUCUAGUUAGCCGGGAGCUAAGGCGAGGCCGAGAGGCGUAGUCGAUGCACAUACGGUUGAGAUUCCGUAGCUACCUUGCAUUUAAGCGAAGGGACACAUUUGAAGGGCAUGACCCGGGCGUUGGUUGACCCGGGCGUAAGGGACCGAAAAUAAGUAGGGAAGCAUGCUUGGAUGGUGGCGAGAAAAGCUUCGUGUAUAUAAGCAGGGUACCCGUACUGCAAACCGACACAGGUAGUCAGGAAGAGGAUUCUAAGGCCAUCGGGAGAAGCGUUGUUAAGGAACUCGGCAAAUUGACCCCGUAACUUCGGAAUAAGGGGUGCUCACGCGAGUGAGCCGCAGUGAAUAGGUCCAGGCAACUGUUUAUCAAAAACACAGCUCUCUGCUAAAUCGUAAGAUGACGUAUAGGGGGUGACACCUGCCCGGUGCUGGAAGGUUAAGAGGAGGGGUGCAAGCUCCGAAUUGAAGCCCCAGUAAACGGCGGCCGUAACUAUAACGGUCCUAAGGUAGCGAAAUUCCUUGUCGGGUAAGUUCCGACCCGCACGAA